AAGAGGAAGGUCCUGUUACUGGAGACAUUUUGCCAAGUGCUUCGGCAUCCUGGAAAUUUGCUCUGCCUAUUUGAUGUCAUCAUCUGGUUCCCAAGUGGUGGCAGUUUUCUUCAGGAGAUAUUUGGUUUAAAAUAUACCCUAUCAAACUUUGGUCUCCAUGUAUGCUGACAGAGAUCAUUGAAGAGGUUAGAAGUGAAAAUCCAAAGACCAAGUAUGAGAAAAACAAUAAACACAUAAAUCAGAGUGACACUACGUGAUGUCCUAUGGCGGACAAAAAGCCCAUGCUAAUUGCAGAGGAGAGCUUUAAAUGUGAGCAUAACUUUUUAAAUGUGAAAAUUCAGACACAGACAUAUGUGUACAGAGCAAUGCAACUCUGAGCUCAUGCUAAAACAUCCCUGAUGGCCUUGGGAUAGUUCUGGAGACGAGGGCAGAAAAAGUGCAUUGGAUGGUAUGGGUUUAUUACUUAGUAGCAUAUUAUUCACUGGCUGGCCCAUAUCUUGAAAUUUUAUGGACUCAUGGUGAUCAGAAUAAAAGAGAUGAAAAAUGGGAUUCAAGUCUCCUUUGAGAGUUGUCUAGAGGCGAUGGUUAUAAAAAUAAAGGAGCUGGAAGGAAACUUCUUUGCCAGCGUCUCUCUCCAGAUUUUCUGUCUACCUGCCUGAUGCUCCAACGGUAUUUGCUUAUUGGCUUAAAAAAAUAGUAGAGAAGUUGUGGAAGAAGUUAGUUCAUCCAAAGCGUUUUAGGUCGAUGUGUGUUUGGAGAAGUCAGUGGAAGAACGUACUGUCGACAGUUGAAGAAAACUGGGAGCCAAGCAUCCGACUGGCUCCUGGGGUCGGGACAGGAGCUCCGGCUUCCUGUGAGGCCUGUGGUGCCAGCUCCUAGCGCGCUCCGCGUACGGGCACCUGAAUCAUCCCGAUAUCUCUUGUCCUGACUCCAGAAGUCAUGCUGUAAGGCUCACCAUGUAGACAGUGUCACUGUGGCUGUUUCCAUUUUGCUUUCACUGCAGCCCUUUUCUGUUUUUAAUUUUGUGGCUGGCAAAGCUUGAAAAGACCGUGAGUCAGGCCAACCAUUCUUUCCCCUCCAGAUAGAAGCCUUAGUGUGCGGCCAAGGCUCUGAGCACCGUUUGUGCUCAUGAACCUUAGCUGCUGGAAGCUUUUCUGUGGGGACAGGGAACAUGUGGGGGAAGUACUUAGUCCCGUGGUUCCCAAAGUGUGGUCCCCAGACCAGCUCGGCAGCAGCAUCCCCUGGACAUUUGUUAGGAAUGCCAGCUAUCCUUCCCCACUCCAGACGGACUGAAUCAGAAA
Long non-coding RNA from Myotis brandtii (Brandt's bat), 1301 nucleotides. RefSeq lists it as uncharacterized. NCBI's taxonomy places the organism in Eukaryota, Metazoa, Chordata, Mammalia, Chiroptera, Vespertilionidae. The record is from RefSeq and is a predicted model, not a curated record. The transcript is spliced from 5 exons.